RNAcentral lists this long non-coding RNA (2108 nucleotides) under Pan troglodytes (chimpanzee). RNAcentral's name for it is "long non-coding RNA NONPTRT015921". The record is from RNAcentral. Lineage: Eukaryota; Metazoa; Chordata; Mammalia; Primates; Hominidae.
CUGCCCUCUGGGCGUCCAAGGCAGUCACUAGUUGACUUUAAAGGGCUUGAAAAAUGUCAGAAGAAAAUUGUGACACAGAAAAAUGUCUGCUUUGGAAGAUGGAAUGGGGUUUGUUGGGAGAGAUAUGGUUGUGCAGCAGUGGUUGUACAUGGUCUCUGAGAGUGAGGACUGGCACAAGUAGGAGAUAUGUGUGCCUGGGAGAGGGGAGAACCCAGGAGCCCUGAUCCUAGAUCCCAUUAGUCACUGGUUCUGCCCUUUAGCUGAAGGCAGUGUGAUGGAGUUGAGUUUGUAUUUGCUUAGUAGUUUGGCCUGCGAUGCCCUCUGCUUCGGGGGAAGGGAGAGGGGAGGAAUUGGUUUUGGCUGCUCCGUGAAAUGGUUGUUAUUCAUGGUGGGUGCAGGCAACCUGUACUUCCAGGUGCCUGUGACUCCUGAAGACACAGUCGGGUAUUUCUCAGAGCAGCAGGGUGGCGGCCUGGAGGACUCAUAGAAGGAGCUCUGCAAAUGUGUUGUGAAGGGGAGCUGUGACACCCUGAGCUUCCUGGGUGAGAGGCUGGCCUCUGGGGGCCUCCACACCUUGGUUUUACUCCUUUAUUCAAUCGCAUGAGACUCCUGAAUCUCAGAGCAGGAAGCAUGUGGAGAUCAUUUCUUCAGCCCUCUGUCUUCAGGCAGGUAGAAGGUAUCUGUCAUUAUCAUUUUGAGGUUUUAUGUAAUGAAAUGCAGAGGUUAUGUGACUUGUUCCAGGUCUCGUGGAGUAAAUAAACUGGAAUCUGCUCCUCGCUGUCCUGCCCUUCACAUGGUGCCAGAGGCAGCUCCUGCGUGCACACCUGUGGCUCACCAGCCUGUCUGCUCCUGGGGAGCUGGGGCCUCCCCUGGUUUACAUCUGCAUCUCUAGGACACCCACGCUGCACUCUGCACACUGAGUUCUCAGGAGAUUCCUGCUGAGCAAAGAAGGAUGAAUUGUAGGCCUGCUUCUUUUUUUUUUUUGAGACGGAGUUUUGCUCUUGUUUCCCAGGCUGGAGUGCAAUGGCGUGAUCUCAGCUCACCACACCCUCCGCCUCCCGGGUUCAAGUGAUUCUCCUGCCUCAGCUUCCUGAGUAGCUGGGACUACAGGCAUGGGCCACCACACCUGGCUCAUUUUAUAUUUUUAGUAGAGACGGGGUUUGUCUAUGUUGGUCAGGCUGGCUGCGAACUCCCAACCUCAGGCGAUCCACCCGUCUCGGUCUCCUAAAGUGCUGGGAUUACAGGAGUGAGCCACCGCGCUUGGCCAGGCCUGCUUUUAAGGAUGCCCCAGGUCCAGAAAAUCAGGGCCAGCCCUGGGAAGUUCGCUCCUUCAGGCAGGUGUGCAUCUUCAUGUGAGACUUGAUCAGACCUGGGUUUUUGUAUCUACCCCACUCCGAAGCUCUCCUGCGUGAACCUGGAAUUCUCACUGCUUUGGGCAGGUGAGCAGUUGGCUUUUUGUCCAGUCUUUCCCCUUGUUGGGCGACUGAGGCCCAGAACACAGUGCCUUCCCUCUCUUUGCCUGGCUGCAGAGGUUCCUCCUUCAGAAAAGGGUCCCAGUGUGCUGUGGGAGGCAGGGUGAGGAGGCUGUCCGGCCUCAGGCGAGGAAGGAGAAGCACAUGGAAGGAAGGGCAGCAGGAAGCCUGAACCUGACUGCCAUGAAUGGCCAGCCCCAAUCUUGGGCCUCAGUUUCCUCAUCUGUCUGGACUAGGUGACUUGCCUGUGUGGGCAGUGGAUGGGAACCCUUCCUCUUGGCCUCAUGGCACUCACUUCUAGCCCACGAAAACUGAGAGGCCUUGCCCACCCUACUCUCCAUGCCCCUUCAACACACGUCUUGAAGAGGCUGCUCCAAGCCUGGCAGAACACCCUCCCUUUCCAGGCCUGCAGAGGACAGCCCUGCCACUGCCCUUUUCCUCCCCACAGGCCAGGCCACCACCAAGCCAGAUCUGGCGCCAGUGGAGAAAGGAGACAGGGAGGCAACUGCAGCCUGCCCAGUGUGGAGAGGGGCCAGAGCCCGGGCACUGGCUUCACUCUCCUUGGAUGAAGGGACUGAGUCUUGCUGUGAUAUCCCCCUCCUCUAGCACCUUACACAGUGCCUGGCAUGUACUGAG